CACUCUAGAGAGACUGCCAGGGAUAACCUGGAGGAAGGUGGGGAUGACGUCAAAUCAUCAUGCCCCUUAUGCUUAGGGCUACACACGUGCUACAAUGGGUAGUACAGAGGGUUGCCAAGCCGUAAGGCGGAGCUAAUCCCUUAAAGCUACUCUCAGUUCGGAUUGUAGGCUGAAACUCGCCUACAUGAAGCUGGAGUUACUAGUAAUCGCAGAUCAGAAUGCUGCGGUGAAUGCGUUCCCGGGUCUUGUACCCACCGCCCGUCACACCACGGGAGUUGGAGACGCCCGAAGCCGAUUAUCUAACCUUUUGGAAGAAGUCGUCGAAGGUGGAAUUAAUAACUGGGGUGAAGUCGUAACAAGGUAGCCGUAUCGGAAGGUGCGGCUGGAUCACCUCCUUUCUAAGGAGA
This 407-nucleotide ribosomal RNA is filed under the name Clostridioides difficile. RNAcentral's name for it is "bacterial SSU rRNA". It matches the Rfam family "Bacterial small subunit ribosomal RNA", at positions 1136 to 1533 of the family's 1533-position model. Lineage: Bacteria; Bacillati; Bacillota; Clostridia; Peptostreptococcales; Peptostreptococcaceae. The record is from RNAcentral.